GGACUACAGGCUUGCGCCACCAUGCCCAGCAUGACAUCGGCCGAGUAGGUUUUUAGGAAAUGGCUGAUUAAUCCACCUUGAAUUCAGAUUUUUCAUCUGAGCUUGAAUUAAAUUGGAAGCCCAUCACCUUUUCAACUGAGAAUUGUCAAAAAGUGAUGAGGCACAGGGAUGUCAAGAGUCUGGGAGGAGACUAAAUCCCAUCAACGUAUCUAUUCAUGGAAUGAGAAAACGAUAUGGAUAUAAACAGAUAUUCCUGAUGGAUCUCUGUGCUUCGGACAUCGAUCCCAGACAACAAAAUGUGCCAUUGCAAACCCAUUGGGGCUCAUCUUGAGUGAAUAUAUUUAUGACUCUGAGAAUCUUGUUCUUCCUUAAAGAAAAAAAAAGAAUAAACAGACAAAACUUAAAAGAA
This is a long non-coding RNA of Homo sapiens (human), 409 nucleotides long. RefSeq lists it as uncharacterized. The transcript is spliced from 2 exons. Lineage: Eukaryota; Metazoa; Chordata; Mammalia; Primates; Hominidae. The record is from RefSeq and is a predicted model, not a curated record.